This 440-nucleotide ribosomal RNA is filed under the name uncultured bacterium. Its description in RNAcentral is "partial 16S ribosomal RNA". It matches the Rfam family "Bacterial small subunit ribosomal RNA", at positions 338 to 795 of the family's 1533-position model. The record is from RNAcentral.
CCUACGGGAGGCAGCAGUGAGGAAUAUUGCACAAUGGGGGAAACCCUGAUGCAGCGACGCCGCGUGAAGGAAGAAGUAUCUCGGUAUGUAAAAUUCUAUCAGCAGGGAAGAAAAUGGCGGUACCUGACUAAGAAGCCCCGGCUAACUACGUGCCAGCAGCCGCGGUAAUACGUAGGGGGCCAGCGUUAUCCGGAUUUACUGGGUGUAAAGGGAGCGUAGGCGGGGAUGUAAGUCAGAAGUGAAAGCCCGGGGCUCAACUCCGGGACUGCUGUUGAAACUGUAUGGCUGGAUUGCAGGAGAGGCAAGUGGAAUUCCUAGUGUAGCGGUGAAAUGCGUAGAUAUCAGGAGGAACACCAGUUGCGAAGGCGGCUUGCUGGACUGUAAAUGACGCUGAGGCUCGAAAGCGUGGGGAGCAAACAGGAUUAGAUACCCCGGUAGUC